AGAGUUUGAUCCUGGCUCAGAACGAACGCUGGCGGCAGGCUUAACACAUGCAAGUCGAACGGUCUCUUCGGAGGCAGUGGCAGACGGGUGAGUAAUGCAUGGGAAUCUACCGUUCUCUACGGAAUAACUCAGGGAAACUUGUGCUAAUACCGUAUGUGCCCUUCGGGGGAAAGGUUUAUCGCCAAGGGAUCGGCCCGCGUUGGAUUAGGUAGUUGGUGGGGUAAUGGCCUACCAAGCCGACGAUCCAUAGCUGGUUUGAGAGGAUGAUCAGCCACACUGGGACUGAGACACGGCCCAGACUCCUACGGGAGGCAGCAGUGGGGAAUCUUAGACAAUGGGGGAAACCCUGAUCUAGCCAUGCCGCGUGAUCGAUGAAGGCCUUAGGGUUGUAAAGAUCUUUCAGUGGGGAAGAUAAUGACUGUACCCACAGAAGAAGCCCCGGCUAACUCCGUGCCAGCAGCCGCGGUAAUA
Molecule: ribosomal RNA, 471 nt
Filed under: uncultured bacterium
Lineage: Bacteria
Description: bacterial SSU rRNA
Rfam family: Bacterial small subunit ribosomal RNA
Source: RNAcentral